RNAcentral lists this ribosomal RNA (496 nucleotides) under uncultured bacterium. Its description in RNAcentral is "partial 16S ribosomal RNA". It matches the Rfam family "Bacterial small subunit ribosomal RNA", at positions 28 to 506 of the family's 1533-position model. The record is from RNAcentral.
GAUGAACGCUGGCGGCGUGCCUAAUACAUGCAAGUCGAGCGAACAGACGAGGAGCUUGCUCCUCUGACGUUAGCGGCGGACGGGUGAGUAACACGUGGAUAACCUACCUAUAAGACUGGGAUAACUUCGGGAAACCGGAGCUAAUACCGGAUAAUAUAUUGAACCACAUGGUUCAAUAGUGAAAGACGGUUUUGCUGUCACUUAUAGAUGGAUCCGCGCCGCAUUAGCUAGUUGGUAAGGUAACGGCUUACCAAGGCAACGAUGCGUAGCCGACCUGAGAGGGUGAUCGGCCACACUGGAACUGAGACACGGUCCAGACUCCUACGGGAGGCAGCAGUAGGGAAUCUUCCGCAAUGGGCGAAAGCCUGACGGAGCAACGCCGCGUGAGUGAUGAAGGUCUUCGGAUCGUAAAACUCUGUUAUUAGGGAAGAACAAAUGUGUAAGUAACUAUGCACGUCUUGACGGUACCUAAUCAGAAAACCACGGCUAACUACGU